This is an RNA transcript of Erigeron canadensis, 1210 nucleotides long. RefSeq lists it as uncharacterized. NCBI's taxonomy places the organism in Eukaryota, Viridiplantae, Streptophyta, Magnoliopsida, Asterales, Asteraceae. The record is from RefSeq and is a predicted model, not a curated record. The transcript has 6 exons.
AGUCCUUUAGUUUGACAAAGUAAUAACUAAUCGCUUUCCAAGUAAAUUCAUUCAACUCUAUCAGCUCGCUGCCUAUAAGAAAACCCACCUCCUUUUACAAAUCUAUCCAAAUUAAAAAGAAAAUCAACAAUGGGAGAUGCUGGUAUUCCUGUCACCAAUCCGGCUGACGACAUAAACCCAGAAACAAUCAACUUUAAAAGAAUCAUCACCACUUUGGCAUUUUCGUUCCAAUGUGUUCGGAACAUAUUUAAUGAAACACGCCGUAUUUUGGUUCGCCAAUACCCGCGAGUAGUAGCAUAUGCUGAACAAGUUGGGGGUGACAUAUUACCUAGUCCGGCUCUUUGGUGUAUCGUCAAAUUGUUACUUCCCCUCGUGCAAAUAAAGGCGCAAUUGCUCUCUGGAACUCCUUCUACAACGCACCAUCGCUUUAUGAUCGUGUGGGCCUCCAUUGUCAUCUUAUAUGCCUUAUUUUGUGCAGUUGAAACGGCCCUCAUAUCUUGUUUAGGUUACAACCACACUUCCUUAAGUGUGGUUGUAGCUAGAUUGGAAGUCAAGUUUCUCGGAAUUGGGCAACUGUAUAUUGACACCCAUAUCACUAUCAAGCACCAUUUCACUAAAUCUAUUUGAAGAAGAGCGGAGGGUGCAACGGCAUUCCAUAAAUACUAUUUCGGUUCAAAAAAUUCCAACAUGGAAUCACAAAUCCUUUUCAUGCAAUUCAGAAGUUAUCUUUUCAGCAUGAUCACCACUCACCUAGAAUAAUACCAUUGGUAGGACGUGUUCAACGUUAUCCAGGAUGUGAUCAAUGAUUUAUUUGAUUCAACCGGACAGAAUUUGUGUUCGAGAAGAUCCACAGUAACAAGACAAAAGAGAUGCUGAAGCAGAAAAUAGGAAACAACAAGGAAAGGCACACCCCAAGGGCCCUGGAGGUGGUAGGAACGCUAGUAAACCAGCCCAAAAGCUUGCUGCCAAGAAAGCCACUAUCACAGCAGUUGCUUAACCAAUGGAAACCGAUGAUGCUCCUGCUGCGCGCAAAGAAAGGAAGAGCCCAAGCAGCAGUCCCAAAGAAAGCUCCUGCUAAAAGUAAGGCAGGCAAAUACUGGUUUUAUUAAUACAAGAUUAUGCAAUUGGUAACAACUUAUUAUAAUAACUUAUUUAGACUGUUUAUGAGAGAAGCUACUUUGGUCGAUGAAGACUGCACUAUAUAUUGUUA